GCAUCGGUCGUGUAAUGGUAGUUACACGCGUCCCCGGCAUAGAUGAAGCGCGAGUUCGAUUCCCGCUUGAGGCC
Non-coding RNA from Parelaphostrongylus tenuis, 74 nucleotides. The record is from the annotation of a GenBank genome assembly. NCBI's taxonomy places the organism in Eukaryota, Metazoa, Nematoda, Chromadorea, Rhabditida, Metastrongylidae.